GAUGAACGCUGGCGGCGUGCCUAAUACAUGCAAGUCGAGCGAACAGACGAGGAGCUUGCUCCUCUGAUGUUAGCGGCGGACGGGUGAGUAACACGUGGAUAACCUACCUAUAAGACUGGGAUAACUUCGGGAAACCGGAGCUAAUACCGGAUAACAUGUUGAACCGCAUGGUUCAACAGUGGAAGAGGGUCUUGCUGUCACCUAUAGAUGGAUCCGCGCCGGAUUAGCUAGUUGGUAAGGUAACGGCUUACCAAGGCAACGAUGCGUAGCCGACCUGAGAGGGUGAUCAGCCACACUGGAACUGAGACACGGCCCAGACUCCUACGGGAGGCAGCAGUAGGGAAUCUUCCGCAAUGGGCGAAAGCCUGACGGAGCAACGCCGCGUGAGUGAAGAAGGUCUUCGGAUCGUAAAACUCUGUUAUUAGGGAAGAACAAAUGUGUAAGUAACUAUGCACGUCUUGACGGUACCUAAUCAGAAAGCCACGGCUAACUACGUG
RNAcentral lists this ribosomal RNA (497 nucleotides) under uncultured bacterium. RNAcentral's name for it is "partial 16S ribosomal RNA". It matches the Rfam family "Bacterial small subunit ribosomal RNA", at positions 28 to 507 of the family's 1533-position model. The record is from RNAcentral.